Non-coding RNA from Aggregatibacter aphrophilus NJ8700, 133 nucleotides. The record is from Rfam. Lineage: Bacteria; Pseudomonadati; Pseudomonadota; Gammaproteobacteria; Pasteurellales; Pasteurellaceae.
CCAUCUGUUAAGUAUUGCAGUUGAGAUGAUGGGUAGUCAUUUUGAAGUUUGCAUAGUACUCCAUAACAGGUAGAGUAGAAAGUAAAUUCGUUAGGGUAUUUAAAAGACUGAAGUUUAAACUUCAGUCUUUUUU